This 400-nucleotide ribosomal RNA is filed under the name uncultured Erwinia sp. Its description in RNAcentral is "bacterial SSU rRNA". It matches the Rfam family "Bacterial small subunit ribosomal RNA", at positions 975 to 1374 of the family's 1533-position model. The record is from RNAcentral. Lineage: Bacteria; Pseudomonadati; Pseudomonadota; Gammaproteobacteria; Enterobacterales; Erwiniaceae.
CAGGCCUUGACAUCCAAUGAACUUUCCAGAGAUAGAUUGGUGCCUUCGGGAACCGUGAGACAGGUGCUGCAUGGCUGUCGUCAGCUCGUGUUGUGAAAUGUUGGGUUAAGUCCCGCAACGAGCGCAACCCUUAUCCUUUGUUGCCAGCGAGUAAUGUCGGGAACUCAAAGGAGACUGCCGGUGACAAACCGGAGGAAGGUGGGGAUGACGUCAAGUCAUCAUGGCCCUUACGGCCAGGGCUACACACGUGCUACAAUGGCGCAUACAAAGAGAAGCGAACUCGCGAGAGCAAGCGGACCUCACAAAGUGCGUCGUAGUCCGGAUCGGAGUCUGCAACUCGACUCCGUGAAGUCGGAAUCGCUAGUAAUCGUAGAUCAGAAUGCUACGGUGAAUACGUUCC